UCGGAGAGUGCAUAAAGUGGCGCACGGGUGAGUAACACGUAAGUAAUCUACCUUCGAGUGGGGAAUAACAUCGGGAAACCGAUGCUAAUACCGCAUAAUGCAGCGGCAUCGCAAGAUGACAGUUGUUAAAGAUUUAUCGCUUGAAGAGGAGCUUGCGGCAGAUUAGCUAGUUGGUAAGGUAAUGGCUUACCAAGGCUACGAUCUGUAACCGGUCUAAGAGGACGGUCGGUCACACUGACACUGAAUAACGGGUCAGACUCCUACGGGAGGCAGCAGUCGGGAAUUUUGGGCAAUGGGCGAAAGCCUGACCCAGCAACGCCGCGUGAAGGAUGAAGUAUUUCGGUAUGUAAACUUCGAAAGAAUAGGAAGAAUAAAUGACGGUACUAUUUAUAAGGUCCGGCUAACUACGUGCCAGCAGCCGCGGUAAUACGUAGGGACCAAGCGUUGUUCGGAUUUACUGGGCGUAAAGGGCGCGUAGGCGGCGUGACAAGUCACUUGUGAAAUCUCCGGGCUUAACUCGGAGCGGCCAAGUGAUACUGUCGUGCUAGAGUGCGGAAGGGGCAACUGGAAUUCUCGGUGUAGCGGUGAAAUGCGUAGAUAUCGAGAGGAACACCUGCGGCGAAGGCGGGUUGCUGGGCCGACACUGACGCUGAGGCGCGAGAGCCAGGGGAGCGAACGGGAUUAGAUACCCCGGUAGUCCU
Molecule: ribosomal RNA, 701 nt
Filed under: uncultured bacterium
Lineage: Bacteria
Description: bacterial SSU rRNA
Rfam family: Bacterial small subunit ribosomal RNA
Source: RNAcentral